Molecule: non-coding RNA, 73 nt
Organism: Dryococelus australis
Lineage: Eukaryota; Metazoa; Arthropoda; Insecta; Phasmatodea; Phasmatidae
Source: the annotation of a GenBank genome assembly
GCUCCUGUGGUGUAGUGAUUAUCGCGUGCGCCUUACACAGGCGAGGUACUUGGUUCGAUCGCGAACGGAAACA